GAAACCGGAGCUAAUACCGGAUAGUUCCUGAACCGCAUGGUUCAAUUAUGAAAGACCGUUUCGGCUGUCACUUACAGAUGGACCCGCGGCGCAUUAGCUAGUUGGUGGGGUAAUGGCUCACCAAGGCGACGAUGCGUAGCCGACCUGAGAGGGUGAUCGGCCACACUGGGAAUGAGACACGGCCCAGACUCUCUACGGGAGGCAGCAGUAGGGAAUCUUCCGCAAUGGACGAAAGUCUGAAGGAGCAACGCCGCGUGAGUGAUGAAGGUCUUCGGAUCGUAAAGCUCUGUUGUUAGGGAAGAACAAGUGCGAGAGUAACUGCUCGCACCUUGACGGUACCUAACCAGAAAGCCACGGCUAAAUUCGUGCCAGCAGCCGCGGUAAUACGUAGGUGGCCAGCGUUGUCUGGAAUUAUUGGGCGUAAAGGGCUCGCCGGCGGUUUCUUAAGUUUGAUGUGAAAGCCCCCGGCUCAACCGGGGAGGGUCAUUGGAAACUGGGAAACUUGAGUGCAGAAGAGGAGAGUGGAAUUCCACGUGUAGCGGUGAAAUGCGUAGAGAUGUGGAGGAACACCAGUGGCGAAGGCGACUCUCUGGUCUGUAACUGACGCUGAGGAGCGAAAGCGUGGGGAGCGAACAGGAUUAGAUACCCUGGUAGUCCACGCCGUAAACGAUGAGUGAUAAGUGUUAGGGGGUUUCCGCCCCUUAGUGCUGCAGCUAACGCAUUAAGCACUCCGCCUGGGGAGUACGGUCGCAAGACUGAAACUCAAAGGAAUUGACGGGGGCCCGCACAAGCGGUGGAGCAUGUGGUUUAAUUCGAAGCAACGCGAAGAACCUUACCAGGUCUUGACAUCCUCUGACAACCCUAGAGAUAGGGCUUUCCCUUCGGGGACAGAGUGACAGGUGGUGCA
Molecule: ribosomal RNA, 907 nt
Filed under: uncultured Bacillus sp.
Lineage: Bacteria; Bacillati; Bacillota; Bacilli; Caryophanales; Bacillaceae
Description: bacterial SSU rRNA
Rfam family: Bacterial small subunit ribosomal RNA
Source: RNAcentral